Molecule: non-coding RNA, 1713 nt
Organism: Doryrhamphus excisus (bluestripe pipefish)
Lineage: Eukaryota; Metazoa; Chordata; Actinopteri; Syngnathiformes; Syngnathidae
Source: RefSeq, a predicted model, not a curated record
GGGACACCCCUGCCUUGCUUGAGGAUUUCCCGGUCACGUGACAGACGUGUCUUGAACCUGCCCUCUCCCGGCUGACUGUCAGCGACUGUCAAUAACGGAAAGCAUGGCAGAGGACCCCAUGUCAUGUGACUGCUUUGUUUCCUUGCCCCCCGGCUCCCGUGACGACCACGUCAUUUUUGGCAAGAACUCUGACCGUCCCCGAGAUGAGGUGCAGGAGGUGGUCCACUACCCUGCAGUGUCUCACCCUGCAGGCACCAUGCUGGAGUGUACCUACAUCCAGAUCCCUCAGGUGGAGCAGACCCACGCCGUCAUCCUCAGCAAACCGGCGUGGUUAUGGGGGGCUGAAAUGGGAGCCAAUGACCAGGGAGUUUGUAUUGGGAACGAGGCCGUCUGGACUCGGGAGGAUGUUACUCCUGGGGAGGCUUUGUUGGGCAUGGACCUUGUGAGGCUGGGUCUGGAGCGCGGUGACAGUGCCUGGACGGCCCUCACUGUCAUCGCUGGUUUGCUAGAGGAACACGGCCAAGGAGGUCCGUGCAGGGAGGAUCCAGAACCCUUCAGCUACCACAACACCUUUCUUCUGGUGGACCGGAAUGAAGCCUGGGUGCUGGAAACCGCUGGCAGGCUCUGGGUCGCACAGAAAAUCUCAGAGGGAGUGAAGAACAUUUCCAACCAAUUGACCAUCGGCACCGAGAUCUCGGCUGAGCAUCCGGAGCUGCGGAGCGUGGCCCAGACAGAGGGCUGGUGGGACGGUGAAGCCGAGUUCAACUUCUCUCGAGUGUUCAGCCCUGAAAAGCCGCCCGCCAGGAUGGAGCUAGCCAAACAGCGCUACAACGGGGGCAUACAGCUACUGGAGCAACAUGAUGGGACCAUGACGGCAGAGGUAAUGAUGACUAUUCUGAGGGACAAGCCCAGCGGCAUCUGCAUGGACUCUGGAGGUUUCUGCACCACAGGCAGCAUGGUGUCUAUCCUUCCCCGGGAUCCUAGCCUGCCCUGCAUCCAUUUCUUCACUGCUACCCCGGACCCCUCUAGGUCUAUAUUCAAGCCUUACAUCUUCUCUGAGGAUUACACCCCAGUCCUCAGUGUAAUGUCCCCGCAGUUUGGCCCUGACGAUCCUGUGAGGAAGCAGCCACGUUUUCAGGGCCGAGUGGACCGCAGACAUGACCUGUAUAAGGCCCACCAGGAGGCACUAAACACCAUGAAGACCGACCCGGACAAGGGCUCUGCUGUCUAUGAGAUUUUGAGGGACCUGGAGUCGCAGUGUCUGAGCGAGAUCGCAGAAAUGUUGAAUGGAGACAUACCAGCCGACGAAUUGGGGAACCUGUUUUUUGACUGUGUGGACACAGAAAUCAAGUUCUACCAAUGAGGAGGUGGGCAACAUCUCCUGUGGUGACAACACAAGCAAAUCAAAAGACCGAUGUACGCCCUCAUUCCUGCGCAUUCCUAGCAAAGGCAGAGCUUCCAGGACCACGGGACGGGGACGGUUGAAUCUUCAUCCUCCAACCUGCCUCUGCUUCACAAGCACACAUCCCUAACACGGCUCCAUCGUUCAUUUAGACUGCAUGUCUAACAUGCAUCUGAUAUGGCAUCACUUGGGAACAAUGACCGCACCUUUUAGUGUAAAAACCCACACAGAGGUAGACUGCACUAGCACUAAUGUAGUAGCAUGAUCUUGCACAACUACUGGAAGUAUGAAAUAUGAUUAAAGUGCGACUU